RNAcentral lists this ribosomal RNA (500 nucleotides) under uncultured bacterium. RNAcentral describes it as "partial 16S ribosomal RNA". It matches the Rfam family "Bacterial small subunit ribosomal RNA", at positions 30 to 523 of the family's 1533-position model. The record is from RNAcentral.
AUUGAACGCUGGCGGAAUGCUUUACACAUGCAAGUCGAACGGCAGCACGGAAUUCGGUCUGGUGGCGAGUGGCGAACGGGUGAGUAAUAUAUCGGAACGUGCCCAGUCGUGGGGGAUAACGUAGUGAAAAUUACGCUAAUACCGCAUACGAUCUAUGGAUGAAAGCGGGGGACCUUUGGGCCUCGCUCGAUGGGAGUGGUCGAUGUCAGAUUAGGUAGUCGGUGGGGUAAAGGCUCACCAAGCCAACGAUCUGUAGCUGGUCUGAGAGGACGAGCAGCCACACUGGGACUGAGACACGGCCCAGACUCCUACGUGAGGCAGCAGUGGGUAAUUUUGGACAAUGGACGCAAGUCUGAUCCAGCUAUUCCGCGUGCAGGACGAAGGCGUUCGGGUUGUAAACUGCUUUGGUCCAGAACGAAAAGGUUUCUACUAAUACUAGGAGCUCAUGACGGUACUGUAAGAAUAAGCACCGGCUAACUACGUGCCAGCCGCCGCCGUAA